CUAGAGUUUGAUCCUGGCUCAGGAUGAACGCUGGCGGCGUGCUUAACACAUGCAAGUCGAACGGGGCUUAUUGGGGCAGCGAUUUCGGUCAAUGCACUGAUAAGCCGAGUGGCGGACGGGUGAGUAACGCGUGGGCAACCUGCCCUGUACAGGGGGAUAACACUUAGAAAUAGGUGCUAAUACCGCAUAAGCGCACAGCUUCGCAUGAAGCGGUGUGAAAAACUCCGGUGGUACAGGAUGGGCCCGCGUUGGAUUAGCUGGUUGGAGGGGUAACGGCCCACCAAGGCGACGAUCCAUAGCCGGCCUGAGAGGGUGAACGGCCACAUUGGGACUGAGACACGGCCCAAACUCCUACGGGAGGCAGCAGUGGGGAAUAUUGCACAAUGGGGGAAACCCUGAUGCAGCGACGCCGCGUGAAGGAAGAAGUAUCUCGGUAUGUAAACUUCUAUCAGCAGGGAAGAAAGUGACGGUACCUGACUAAGAAGCCCCGGCUAAUUACGUGCC
This 504-nucleotide ribosomal RNA is filed under the name uncultured bacterium. RNAcentral's name for it is "bacterial SSU rRNA". It matches the Rfam family "Bacterial small subunit ribosomal RNA", at positions 1 to 509 of the family's 1533-position model. The record is from RNAcentral.